This 1067-nucleotide long non-coding RNA is filed under the name Sarcophilus harrisii (Tasmanian devil). RNAcentral describes it as "lncRNA (ENSSHAG00000030266.1)". The record is from RNAcentral. Lineage: Eukaryota; Metazoa; Chordata; Mammalia; Dasyuromorphia; Dasyuridae.
GUUUGGAAAAGCAGACAAUUCUUUGAUAUUUAGAUAAUAGGAGAAGAACCUCAACUAAAGCCCUAAUAUGGCAGCUCAUCACCUUUUGGAAAGGACUGGAUUCUCAGAGAUUGUGUCUGAACAGCACAAGAGUUGACUGGUUCUAUUAAGUGGUUCUCCCUUCCAACUAUCUACAAAACCCUGCCAGCCUCAUGCUGCUGUUCCUUUAUUUCUUUAUGAAAACCUGUCCUCAAGACUCUCCAUUGAUAGAAACUCGGAGUGUUCUCCUUUCCAAGGGCAUUUUUCGUUUAAGGGCUGUCAAAACUCUAAGCAAAAGUGCCUCCAGGCAUUCAUGUGAACAACUCCUGCAUGUAUGAAACAUAUUUUUCAUUUCCAUCUAUCAAAAUCCUCUUCCUUCUUCAAGGCCAGGGUUUCCAAGACUAAAGAAUGCAUCAGUGAUUGUCCAGCUGCUCCAUUCUGUGAGAUUGCUCUUGAGAAAGCAGAGAUUAUAUUUUGCUCAAAUCCUGUUGUGUAUGAGUGGCAAAGAACUAGAAAUUGAGAAGAUGCUCAUUCAUUGGGGAAUGGCUAAACAAGUUGUGGCAUAUGAAUGUGAUGGAAUACUAUUAUGCUAUAGAAAUGAUGAGCAAGAUACUGUCAGAAAAACCUUGAAAGAUUUACAUGAAGUGAUGCAAAUGAAGUAAGCAGAACCAGGAGAACAUUGUAUACUACUGUAUGAUUGUCAACUGUGAAUGACUUAGCUAUGCUUAACAACACAACGAUCUAAGACAAUUCUGAAGAAUUUAUGAUGAAAAAUGCUAUCCCUCUCCAGAGAAAGAACUGAUGGGAUAUGAAUGUAGAGCAAAUCAAACUUUUUUUUAAAACUUUGUUUAUUUUUCUUGUUUUGUUUUUUUUUUUUGCCUGUGUUCUCUUUUCCAACAUGACUAAUAUGGAAAUAUGUUUUGCAUGAAUUUACAUGUGUAAUCAGUAUCAAAAUGUUUGCCUUCUGGAGAGUGGAGAGGAGGGAGGGAAUUUGGAACUAAAAAAUUAUAAAAGCAAAUGUUAGAAAUUAUUUUUAUGCGUAAUUGAGG